This 1430-nucleotide ribosomal RNA is filed under the name Clostridioides difficile. RNAcentral describes it as "bacterial LSU rRNA". It matches the Rfam family "Bacterial large subunit ribosomal RNA", at positions 870 to 2317 of the family's 2925-position model. Lineage: Bacteria; Bacillati; Bacillota; Clostridia; Peptostreptococcales; Peptostreptococcaceae. The record is from RNAcentral.
UUAGGGCUAGCCUCAAGGUGAGAGAUACGGAGGUAGAGCACUGAAUGUCCUAGGGGGUAUUGCACCUACCGAAGACUAUCAAACUCCGAAUGCCGUCAUCUUAUACUUGGGAGUCAGACUGUGGGUGAUAAGAUUCAUAGUCGAAAGGGCAACAGCCCAGAUCGUCAGCUAAGGUCCCUAAAUGUAAGUUAAGUGGUAAAGGAUGUGGGAUUGCACAGACAACCAGGAUGUUGGCUUAGAAGCAGCCACUCAUUCAAAGAGUGCGUAAUAGCUCACUGGUCGAGUGAUCCUGCGCCGAAGAUUUCCGGGGCUAAAACUUACUACCGAAGCUACGGCAUCAGUAAUGAUGGGUAGGGGAGCUUCCCAUACGGGUUGAAGCAUGACCGUAAGGACAUGUGGACAGUAUGGGAGUGAGAAUGUUGGCAUGAGUAGCGAGAUGUGGGUGAGAAUCCCACAGGCCGUAAACCCAAGGUUUCCAGGGGAAGGUUCGUCCGCCCUGGGUUAGUCGGGACCUAAGCUGAGGCCGAAAGGCGUAGGUGAUGGACAACAGGUUGAUAUUCCUGUACUACCGAUAACCGUUUGAGAGAAGGGAUGACACAGUAGGAUAAGCUAAGCACACUGUUGGUUAUGUGUGCCCAAGCAUUGAGGCAGUCAAAGUAGGCAAAUCCGCUUUGAUAAUGCUGGGAUGUGAUGGGGAGCGAAAUUUAGUAGCGAAGUAGCUGAUUUCACACUGUCAAGAAAAGUCUCUAUCGAGGUUAAAGGUACCCGUACCGCAAACCGACACAGGUGGGUGAGGAGAGUAUCCUAAGGCCAGCGAGAGAACUGUUGUUAAGGAACUCGGCAAAAUGACCCCGUAACUUAGGGAUAAGGGGUGCCACCAUCAGGUGGCCGCAGAGAAUAGGCCCAAGCGACUGUUUACCAAAAACAUAGGUUUCUGCUAAGUCGCAAGACGAUGUAUAGGAGCUGACGCCUGCCCGGUGCUGGAAGGUUAAGGGGAUCUGUUAGAGCAAUCGAAGCAGUGAACUUAAGCCCCAGUAAACGGCGGCCGUAACUAUAACGGUCCUAAGGUAGCGAAAUUCCUUGUCGGGUAAGUUCCGACCCGCACGAAAGGCGUAACGAUUUGGGCACUGUCUCAACAACAGACUCGGUGAAAUUGUAAUUCCGGUGAAGAUGCCGGAUACCUGCGACAGGACGGAAAGACCCCAUGGAGCUUUACUGUAGCUUGACAUUGGGUCUUGGUACUACAUGUACAGGAUAGGUGGGAGGCUUUGAAACCAGGACGCCAGUUUUGGCGGAGCCAUCCUUGGGAUACCACCCUUGUAGUACUGGGACUCUAACCAUAGGCCAUGAAUCUGGUCUUGGGACACUGUCAGGUGGGCAGUUUGACUGGGGCGGUCGCCUCCCAAAAGGUAACGGAGGCGCUCAAAGGU